AUAAUGAUAAAAGAUAAUAAUGCAUGAUAACUUGUUUACUGUUGAUAGUUGAUAGUCGUAGUGUCGACGUGUCGUACACUGGGACUUGAGUCUGCGAACAGUUGUAACAUGAUUAACUAACUAGGUAUGUCAGCAACUCAGUGAUACGCAUCAUGUCUACGUCAUCCGCCAAGGAUUUGUUAUCAGUAUUAAAUAAUUGCUUAUCAACAACACACAAUAUUGUAAUUUGUAGUAAUACAAAAUAAAUAAUUUACACUUUUGACUUUACAAUUAUUUCACUUAAUUAAUACCUAAUGUAUUUAUUGUAUUACCUAAAUAAUACCUAAUACUAUUUACGUCUUGCUGUAUGUACUAAGUAUUGGACUAUAAGUAUAGUACUAUUGGACUUAAACCAUGACAAUUAGUACUUUGUCAUGACUUAAACUAAAUUUGUGAUGUACCUGGAGUCUUUCUCAGUGUGUUUUUGGUAUGAUAUUCAUUAAAAACAACUUCAAGUACUUUUGCCACUUGUAUCAUACUUUUUGAAGGCUUAAUCAAAUUACCUUUUGACAUUUGUUCGGUCCAAGAGGAAUCAGAUCCUAUCACAUUACCAACUUUUUCGCCUAGACUUGGAUAUUUGCUCAAAAACUUUCUUGCUACUGAGCCUGUUACAUACUCCAAGCAAUCUUUUUCAAUAUCAGACAUAUGUAGCAUAAAUAGAUUGUACAUCAGCUGAUGUGGUCUCAUGGAUUCAAAACCAGGCAUAGAGUAAUGUUAUAUUCUGUGGUAAUACUAAUAUCAUAUAUUACUAAAUUCCAGAAUCCCGCCAAAAAUAUUGAUUAAAAUCCUUGGCGGCUGACGUCACAUUAUAAUGGAAUAAUCAACUUAUUACUGUUUCUUCCAUGGUUGCGCGUAUUAAUACUAGAAUAAGUAAAGUUGCUGACAUACCUAGUUAGUUAAUCAUGAGU
Long non-coding RNA from Myzus persicae (green peach aphid), 947 nucleotides. RefSeq lists it as uncharacterized. The transcript has 2 exons. NCBI's taxonomy places the organism in Eukaryota, Metazoa, Arthropoda, Insecta, Hemiptera, Aphididae. The record is from RefSeq and is a predicted model, not a curated record.